This 440-nucleotide ribosomal RNA is filed under the name uncultured bacterium. RNAcentral describes it as "bacterial SSU rRNA". It matches the Rfam family "Bacterial small subunit ribosomal RNA", at positions 958 to 1398 of the family's 1533-position model. The record is from RNAcentral.
AACGCGAAGAACCUUACCUGGGCUUGACAUGUUCCUGACAGCCGUGGAAACACGGUCUCCCUUCGGGGCAGGAUCACAGGUGGUGCAUGGCUGUCGUCAGCUCGUGUCGUGAGAUGUUGGGUUAAGUCCCGCAACGAGCGCAACCCCCGUCGCAUGUUGCCAGCAUUUAGUUGGGGACUCAUGCGAGACCGCCGGUGACAAACCGGAGGAAGGUGGGGAUGACGUCAAGUCAUCAUGCCCCUUAUGUCCAGGGCUACACACGUGCUACAUUGGCGCGUACAGAGGGUUGCGAUACCGCGAGGUGGAGCGAAUCCCUUAAAGCGCGUCUCGGUUCGGAUUGCAGGCUGAAACCCGCCUGCAUGAAGGCGGAGUUGCUAGUAAUCGCGGAUCAGCACUGCCGCGGUGAAUACGUUCCCGGGCCUUGUACACACCGAGACGUA